GUGGGAGCUGGCUUGCCUGCGAGAGCAUCCCCCUGGUGUACCUGAUGCACCAGGCACCCGCAUCGCAGGCAAGCCAGCUCCCAC
This 84-nucleotide non-coding RNA is filed under the name Pseudomonas lurida. Lineage: Bacteria; Pseudomonadati; Pseudomonadota; Gammaproteobacteria; Pseudomonadales; Pseudomonadaceae. The record is from RNAcentral.